GGAAAAGCCCAUAAAUGCUCCACCAACCAAAAACACACGCACGCAAAAUAAAAAGCUGGAGCCUUUAGACGAUCAGGGAGUCAAAGCUGUUAAACAUAGCCAGUCGCAGCCUAAUCAUCGUUUCUCUCUGAAAAAUCAGAGGAAACGAAACCAUGAAACUCUCCUUCUCUCUGCCACCCAAAUCCUCUUCAAAAUCAAACCCUAAACGCAAACCCUCAACCACCGCCACUACCUUCGACGACGGCAAUGGCAACCCAAACGACGCCGCUUCGAAACACUUCGUCAACGAAUUCGACGCCUCCAAAACCCUAUCCACCGACCCCAAAACCCGCGUAAUCGCUCCGAUCCCGAACGAGUGGCAGCCCCACAAGAAGAUGAAGAAUCUCGAGCUUCCAAUCACCGAGCCCGGAGGCCAAGAACUUAAGUUCGAGGUCGAGACGCUAUCGGUCAACGACGACCCCGAUGCGAAGAUUUCGUACGGUCUCAAUGUGCGGCAGAAAUUGGGUGCGGAAUCGGAGAAUCGGGACGGUGGUGAUGAACAUCCGAGAUUGAGAGGUGUGGAGGACACUCUGCUUCAGAAAUUUAAAGACGACUUGGAGCGCUUGUCGGAUCACAGGGGCUUGGAGGAGUUUGAUGAGAUGCCGGUAGAGGGUUACGGCGAGGCGUUGCUUUCUGGGUACGGGUGGUACCCGGGAAGAGGGAUUGGAAAGAAUGCUAAGGAAGAUGCGAAGGUUGUAGAGUAUACAAGGAGUACUGAUAGGCACGGGUUAGGGUUUCAUAUGAAUCCGAAGGAGAAAGAGAAAAAGCAAGAGAAAGAGAGAAAGAAAGAUGGGGAUUUGGGUAAGGAGGUGAGGAUUGUUUCGGGUAGAGACUAUGUGGGUUUGAGGGGUAGGAUUGUUGAGAAAUUGGGCAAUGGCAAACUGGUAUUGAAGCUCUCGAGUAGGGGCAAAGAGCAAGAGCAAGAGGUAGUGAAAGUGAAUGUGGAUCAAGUUGCUGAAAUGGGUUCGAAAGAAGAAGAGAAGUGCUUGAAGAGAUUGAAGGAAGCCCAAAGGAAAGUGGGUAGUGAUAGUAAGCCAAGACGAGAAGAGCAGAGGGUUUAUUCAACGUGGCUUGCCCGUCACAUUCGAGUUAGGGUUAUAAGCAAGGACUUGAAAGGUGGGAAAUUGUAUUUGAAAAAAGGGGAGGUGAUGGAUGUCGUUGGACCCAAAACUUGUGAUAUAUCUAUGGAUGGGAGUAGGGAGCUUGUGCAGGGGGUGUCCCAGGAUCUUCUUGAGACUGCGCUGCCAAGACGGGGCGGAUCCGUCCUUGUGUUGUCUGGAAAGCACAAGGGGGUCUUUGGCAAUCUUGUUGAGAAGGAUUCAGACCGAGAAACUGGUGUUGUCAGAGAUGCUGAUACCCAUGAAUUGCUCAAUGUGAGUCUUGAGCAGAUUGCUGAGUUUACUGGCGAUCCCAGCGACCUUGGAUAUUGAUUCAUAGAGGUAUUUCAACUUAUCAAAUUGCUGGGUGUAUAUACAUAUGAUAUGGAGACACCAUCAAUCCAGUUUGAUACCUUCUGUGUUAAUGGGGGUCCUGAUGGGAUAUAUUAGUGGCAUGAGGGGAAAGGUUGAAUGCCUUUCAGAGGAAGAUUUGGGGAAAAAAUGAGACAGAGCUAGUAAAGCAGGAGAUGAUCAAAGAGAAGUGUUACCAUUUAUUCCUAAAGAGCCAUAUGAUGUGAUUGCAUGUGAUUGCAAGAGUCACCAUUUCUACAGAUUUGCUCGAGAAUUCCUUAUCCUGGUCCUGAAAACACAGAGAGGUACAAAUCUUACUUGUUGGAAUUUGGACAUGUGGUCCAAACAGAAUCAUUGGCACCCUAUAAGGUCGGAUAGUCGGCUAUCUGCAAUGAUGCUAAUGUUCGGAAUGUGGAAGGCUUGACAAAUGAAUUUUCUGAUCUAGAACUGAAACUUGGAGUAUAACACCUUGCUAGUUUCUUUGCAGAAGAAGCUAUUAUUGAGCUUGCUCCAUAGCGUGUUAAUUAUGUGCAAUUUAAACCAACCCCUUUGUUCUAAUCUCAACAAUUUAGCCCAGAGAGUUUAAAUUGGACUGCUCCUUGUGUUUA
RNA transcript from Prunus mume (Japanese apricot), 2095 nucleotides. It is a transcript of the gene named protein MOS2-like, with no coding region annotated. The record is from RefSeq and is a predicted model, not a curated record. NCBI's taxonomy places the organism in Eukaryota, Viridiplantae, Streptophyta, Magnoliopsida, Rosales, Rosaceae.